AUUAGAUGCCUUUUCUUUAGUGUGUUGUCAUAAUCUGUAGAACUGCAUCGUUCGCACAUAACGGGAUACAGAUUGCAAUACAGCUGUCGUGACUUGGAUUACUGAUUUUAGACCUCUUCAUUGGACAAAGUUUGUCAGGAUUCAAUGUCGCCAAAGAUCAAUCUGUCCUUUUUUGCGGGUACUCUGAGGAUGGAAGGGCCAGUUAGGAGGCUGAGCAAAGCCAUUGCUAAAGAUAGCAAAGAAAUGCAUCUCACUCCCAGUGACAUUACUGUGAAGAUGCAGAAGAGGAACACCAAAUUCCAAGACUUGCUGCAGGCAUGA
RNAcentral lists this long non-coding RNA (321 nucleotides) under Manacus vitellinus (golden-collared manakin). RNAcentral's name for it is "lncRNA (ENSMVIG00005019182.1)". The record is from RNAcentral. Lineage: Eukaryota; Metazoa; Chordata; Aves; Passeriformes; Pipridae.